CACGUGUCUUCAUUUUUCAUGUGAUGGCGGAUUGUGAUGGCGGAUUGUCAAAAAUUUGCCUAUUUUUCCACGAAAACUACCAAUAAUUCAUAGGAAGGAAUGCGAAAGAAAACAGUGGCCUGCAAGAAGUCCACCAUCAACUCUUUCAUAAAAAAUCGUCAUUCUGCUGAAUGCAUCAAUUAAUACAGUAACCCAGCGGCCAGCGUGGAGUUACAUUGUUUUUUCCAAACAUGUUUUUCAACAAAUAAAGCAUUGACAGACAAGAAAAGCUAUGGAAAAUGUAAUGUAGGACAUGAGUAAUCUUCAGGUUUAUUGCAGCUACUUAGAAGAAGUCACGUGAAAAGAUGCAGGGCAGGGCACUUACCAACAUGUGUUCAAAACUGCUGCUGCUGCCUACAGCCACGGGCAGGAAAAUUGCUCUCUUUCUUCUGACAACUGAAAGGCUGCUGCAGUCAUCUAUCUAGUCUGCAUCAUCCCUCGACUCAUUUCGUCUUCUGGAUAGCUUAGUAAAGCUGACUGGUGUUAUCAAUCCAUUUAGAUAACGACCUAUAGAGGAUGCGGCCUACAGACUGUGAACAUCAGAUGGGAUCAGACGUCAGCAUCUCUACGAAAUGGCGGUGACGUGACUCCACGGGUGACAUCAAACAUGUUCUACGUGGAUCAUCAUUUAUUUUUGGUAUUAUGUUUUUGUUUGUUGACCCGUUGGCUGCCACGCCUUUGU
Daphnia pulicaria is the source of this 721-nucleotide long non-coding RNA. RefSeq lists it as uncharacterized. The record is from RefSeq and is a predicted model, not a curated record. The transcript is spliced from 6 exons. Lineage: Eukaryota; Metazoa; Arthropoda; Branchiopoda; Diplostraca; Daphniidae.